AUGAUGUUUAUAAAUACCGCCCCAGUCUGAAAAGACGUGUUGAUUGGUUUUCAAUACUGAUA
Molecule: small nucleolar RNA, 62 nt
Filed under: Drosophila mojavensis
Lineage: Eukaryota; Metazoa; Arthropoda; Insecta; Diptera; Drosophilidae
Description: snoRNA:GI25338
Source: RNAcentral